Molecule: long non-coding RNA, 605 nt
Filed under: Ricinus communis (castor bean)
Lineage: Eukaryota; Viridiplantae; Streptophyta; Magnoliopsida; Malpighiales; Euphorbiaceae
Description: long non-coding RNA (RCOM_LNC000928)
Source: RNAcentral
AGCCUUUUGGCAUGAGAUGAUUCUGGACAGCAUUAGCACCUGGUAACAAGAAAGGAACGCCCAGGGUUGCGAACCCAGACAACCUUUCGGGGUGCAGGGAAGCUAUUAGACUUACAGGUAAUGCUCCAAAAUCCUUCCCAACUAGAAAAACCUGCUACCAAAAGUUCAGUUUGUCAAUUGGAAAACACUAGAUUCACGGGUGCUUACGUACAGCACAUGUCAUCAGUUAGACUUAUCAUUGUAAAGUAGGGGUCUGAAUUCUGACUGCCUGCGCAAUAUAUCAAAUCAACUACUGAAUUGUGGUAUUACCAUUAGCAUUGAUACGGUUAGUGGGUAACAUAUAACUGAAAUUUAAACUUACUACAUUUUCUUUUUCCUGGACUUUCUUGUAUUAUCAUGAUUCUAUAACAUACCCAACUAGAAAGAUUCCUUCUUAAUUUUCUUUUAUUACAUGUUGUUUUGAUUGACAGUUCUGGUCAACUAAUUUCAAUGAAAUCAGUUCAGGUUUUCCAUAGAUUAUUCUGAAGCGGAAAAGAAAAAGCCCAAUCAAAAGAAAGCAUUUUUUGGACUAGCCGCUAACCUUAUCGAUGCCGAGAGUGUCAAGA